UUUUUUUAUGCCCCACCUACAAUAGUAGAGGGGCAUUAUGUUUUCUGGUCUGUGCGUCCGUCCGUCCGUCCGUCUGUCCGUUCGUUCGUCCGUCCGUUCGUCCGUCCGUUCGUCCGUCCGUCUGUCCCGCUUCAGGUUAAAGUUUUUGAUGAAGGUAGUUUUUGAUGAAGUUUAAGUCCAAUCGACUUCAAACUUAGUACACAUGUCCCCUAUAAUAUGAUCUUUCUAAUUUUAAUGCCAAAUUAGAGUUUUUACCCCAAUUUCACGGUCCACUGAACAUGGAAAAUGAUAGUGCGAGUGGGGCAUUCGUGUACUGAGGACACAUUCUUGUUUUUUUAGAUUUUUUGUGUUUCCAUGUUCAUAAUGCCCCUUUACCACCCUCUUGAAAUUGGAAUACAACUUCAUGGGGGGAUCAAGUUCAAGUAACAGCAAGAUUCUUUCAUUCAAUGGGAGAUAACUCUGUAAAAUCUGUAAAUGAUUUUUUAUGCAGUUGAAAUUCAAAUCAUAAACCUUUGAAUUAUUUAUUUUGUGUUCCAUCUUUCAUAUUAAUUUCCCAAAGGAAGUAUAGUAUCAAUUUUCAAUUCUUUUCAGGUUCUAUGAUGAUUUUCAUGGUGUGGAAAUAAGACUUGGUGGUCUUAAAGAUCUAAUUAAUGUAACAUAGGUAGGUACCAGUAUGUUAUUCCUGUUUUGAAUGAAACUAGUAUUGUAAAAAUAUUUUUGAAAUGUUAUUUUCAUGUGGUCUGAAUGUUUAUAAGAGUUUGAUCAGAAAUCUCCUCUUUCAUCUAUCAGUACAAUAAUAUGUUUGAUGUAAUUACUUAAAAGUGUGUUGGGUUGCUGUCAACCAUAUGUUCUCAACAUCUAUUACACAUUUGUAGACUUUGUAUAUUUGAUAUACAUGUAAUAUGUCUGAUGUAAUAUGUCUGGAACUUAUACAUGUAUCUAUUGGUCCCAGAUUUUAUCAACAAUGGUUUUUUCAAACCAUUUUGAAUAACUAAGCAUUUUACAUUUUAGGUUAGCAUCACAGCUUGUCCAUAAGGAUUGAGGCUGAGAAUGACCAUUAGAUGGGACUUUUAUGGUAAGAAUAAAAACAAAGAUUUAUGAACUAGAGAAUGUUAUUGCCACAGUUUUUAUAGAUGUAGAUCUUACAUUUGAAUGUUUUCUUUAGUUAAUUGAAUAUAUACUCGAAGGGACAUAAAAAAUUUAGAAAAUCUUAUUUUUUUCGUUAUCUUAAAUUGUCACCAUGUAUUAGAAUAAAGAGGUGUGUUAUGAUUUCCAAUAAGAUAUUUAUCAAUGAGAGAACAAAUGUCAUGAAUGUAAACAAACUAAAGGUCAGCAUAUGGCCUUCAACGAUGAGUAAAACCUAUACUGUAAACCAUAAACUUCCCCAACAUCACCAAUUGUGAAAUAAUUCAAAAGAAAAACUUACCUCAAGGCCUGAUUUAUGUUUAAACAAUAAAGGAAAAAAAUUAUCUUGGACAUGGACAAAAAAAUGUGAAAAGAUUUUUGAUUUUCAACUUUAUUGAAUCUUAUUCAUUAUGGCUAGAUUUAUUUCAUACUUUGAAGAAGAAGUGAAACGGACAAAUUUAACUUAGAUAUAUACUUAUUAAAUUGUUAAAAUCAUAUAAUUUUUAAUUUCAUUUAUAUCAUUUUUAUGUCCCACUUAAGGAAGUUAGCUGCUCGGUUUCUAAAUGAAUAACUUUCCAUAAAACUAGUAUAUAUUGAUGGGUAUUAAUUGAGGAAUAAAAAAAGCAAAAAAAAAACAAACAUAGGGAUCAAUUUGCUUGUUUUCGAGAUAUUAGCCAUAAGAAAAUGUUCCAUAGCUUUAUCAUUGACCACUUAGAGUUCUCAAAAACUACUAAAAAACUAAAUAAAAUUUUAUAAAACUUUUUCAAAUGGCUUAAUACAACUAUACAUUUUUAAGGCAUUCAAAUGUAUAAAACCGGAGGAUUUGAAAAUCUGACAAAAAUUCCAAAACAUAACAAGCAAAUAUCCUUAAGGGCAUUCAUUGAUGUGGUCUCUAAACAGGGUGAAAAUUUAUGUCUAAGGGAGAUUCUUUAUAAUCAACCAGUUGAACUCCACAUUCUUGUAAUUUGAACAAUGCUUAGAAUAUGCACCUUUAUUUAUAGAAUAUUCACUUUUUUUUUAAUUAAAUGUAUACUAGAUGAAAUUGACUAUUAUUUAGAACUGUGUAAAAUAGAAUAAAAUGUAAACAGAGCUCUUGAUAACAGAUAUGUUAAGUGGGAGAAAUCAUUAGUCACUUUAAAUCACUUUGUGUAAAAAAAAAAAAAAAGGCCUAUAAAAAAAGAUUGUCAUUGAGACAAUGAGGAAAGCCACCUUGGCAGCCAAGAAAGCAGCUUUAAGGAAGAUGGUCAAAUAGAUGUUCAACCAUGUCUGUGGUUUAAUUGUGAAAAAUAUGUGAUUUAAUAAUUUUAAAAAUUCCACCAAAUAUGUUGUAAUAAUAUUAUUAUGUGCAUUUUAAUAAUCUGUUUCUUAAUAGUCCUUUUUAUGCCCCACCUACGAUAGUAGAGGGGCAUUAUGUAUUCUGGUCUGUGGCUCCGUUCGUGCCUUCGUUCAAUUGUUCGUUCAUCUGUCCGUUCAUCUGUCCGUUCGUUCGUCCUUUCGUUCCUCUGUGCGUCCGUUCAGGUUAAAGUUUUUGGUCAAGGUAGUUUUUGAUGAAGCUGAAGUCCUGUGAAUCAACUUGAAACUUAGAACACUUGUUGCUUAUGAUAUGAUCUUUCUAAUUUUAAAGCCAAAUUAGACAUUUGACCCCAAUUUUACGGUCCACUGAACAUAGAAAAUGAAAGAGCGAGUUUCAGGUUAAAGUUUUUGGUUAAGGUAGUUUUUAAUAAAAUUGAAGUCCAAACAACUUGAAACUUAGUAUAUAUGUUCUCUAUAGUAUAAUCUUUCUAAUUUUAAUGCCAAAUUAGAUUAUUACCCAAUUUCACGGUCCAUGUAACAUGGAAAAGGAUAGUGCAAGUGCGGCAUCCGUGUACUUUUGACACAUUCUUGUUUAUAAGAGUUUGAUUUCGCAGUGUAUUAAUCAUCCAUAACAUAUUUUUGCCUCUCACACAACAUUUGAGGGGGACAUAGAAAUACUCAUAAUGCAUCUAUAUGUCUGUGCAGUUUUGUAAUUGCUCACACAUGUACAGUUCUUGCCAGAUAUUUAUAAAACUUACAUCAUAGGUUUAUAGCAGCAAUGUCUAGGAAAUGUUCAAAAAUUAAUGCAUGUCAACUAGAUGUUUUAAAUUUUUGCCCUUUGGAAAAGUUAUUACAUGGAAAUUUCAUUGUUGGUGCUCUUUUGCGACAAUUCUUGCAAGAUUUUUAUUAAAUUUACAUCCGAUUUAAUUUAAUUUUUUGCAAUGUCUCAGAUGAGUUAGAAAUUCAGUAUUAAUGUAAUAUUUUUAGAGUUAUGCCCCUUGAAAAUAUUAAUUAUAUUAGAAUUUGCAUUGGAUUUGUUUUAAGUCUUCAUUACUUUAAGAUAUUUAUAAAAACAAACAACUUUUUUAUGCCCCACCUACGAUAGUAGAGGGGCAUUAUGUUUUCUGGUCUGUGCGUCCAUCCGUCCGUCCGUCCGUCUGUCCGUUCGUCCGUCCGUUCGUUCGUCCGUCCGUCUAUCCCGCUUCAGGUUAAAGUUUUUGGUCAAGGUAGUUUUUGAUGAAGUUUAAGUCCAAUCGACUUCAAACUUAGUACACAUGUCCCCUAUAAUAUGAUCUUUCUAAUUUUAAUGCCAAAUUAGAGUUUUUACCCCAAUUUCACGGUCCACUGAACAUGGAAAAUGAUAGUGCGAGUGGGGCAUUCGUGUACUGAGG
This 3809-nucleotide long non-coding RNA is filed under the name Mytilus galloprovincialis (Mediterranean mussel). Lineage: Eukaryota; Metazoa; Mollusca; Bivalvia; Mytilida; Mytilidae. The record is from RNAcentral.